GGGGAAUAUUGGACAAUGGGCGAAAGCCUGAUCCAGCCAUGCCGCGUGUGUAGAGAGUGUUCUGAGUGUAAAAAACACUAAGUGUGGGGGGAGAGGGGUAUAUUAUUAUACUUUUGUGUUGACGUGAUCAACAGAGAAAAAACCGGCUAACAUCGUGUCAGCAGCCGCGGUAAUACGAAGGGUGCAAGCGUUAAUCGGAAUUACUGGGCGUAAAGCGCGCGUAGGUGGUUUGGUAAGAUGGAUGUGAAAUCCCCGGGCUCAACCUGGGAACUGCAUCCAUAACUGCCUGACUAGAGUACGGUAGAGGGUGGUGGAAUUUCCUGUGUAGCGGUGAAAUGCGUAGAUAUAGGAAGGAACACCAGUGGCGAAGGCGACCACCUGGACUGAUACUGACGCUGAGGUGCGAAAGCGUGGGGAGCAAACA
RNAcentral lists this ribosomal RNA (424 nucleotides) under uncultured Pseudomonadaceae bacterium. RNAcentral's name for it is "bacterial SSU rRNA". It matches the Rfam family "Bacterial small subunit ribosomal RNA", at positions 356 to 774 of the family's 1533-position model. The record is from RNAcentral. Lineage: Bacteria; Pseudomonadati; Pseudomonadota; Gammaproteobacteria; Pseudomonadales; Pseudomonadaceae.